Molecule: ribosomal RNA, 449 nt
Filed under: uncultured Eubacteriales bacterium
Lineage: Bacteria; Bacillati; Bacillota; Clostridia; Eubacteriales
Description: bacterial SSU rRNA
Rfam family: Bacterial small subunit ribosomal RNA
Source: RNAcentral
AGCAUGUGGUUUAAUUCGAAGCAACGCGAAGAACCUUACCAGGGCUUGACAUGCCGCUGACCGGUUUAGAGAUAGAUCUUUACCCUUCGGGGUACAGCGGACACAGGUGGUGCAUGGUUGUCGUCAGCUCGUGUCGUGGGAUGUUGGGUUAAGUCCCGCAACGAGCGCAACCCUUGUCUUUAGUUGCCAUCAUUAAGUUGGGCACUCUAAAGAGACUGCCGAUGACAAAUCGGAGGAAAGUGGGGAUGACGUCAAAUCAUCAUGCCCUUUAUGUCCUGGGCUACACACGUGCUACAAUGGUCGGUACAACGAGAAGCAAGUCAGCGAUGGCAAGCAAAUCUCUAAAAGCCGAUCCCAGUUCGGAUUGCAGGCUGCAACUCGCCUGCAUGAAGUCGGAGUUGCUAGUAAUCGCGGAUCAGCAUGCCGCGGUGAAUACGUUCCCGGGCCUU